This is a non-coding RNA of Cajanus cajan (pigeon pea), 381 nucleotides long. The record is from RefSeq and is a predicted model, not a curated record. Lineage: Eukaryota; Viridiplantae; Streptophyta; Magnoliopsida; Fabales; Fabaceae.
UAAUUAGUGUUUAGGGUGGCUAAAUUAUCUUGAAUUAAUAAUUUUUGCUCAAAAUUAUCAAGGCCAAUUACCUUUUGACUUGGCUAUGUUCAAUAAUUCACCGGUUUCUGAUCAAGGAAGUGUGCCAACAUAUGAAACAAAUUCUCAACGUGAAAUGGGGUGUGGGUGAUAGCUUAAAAGCACAUUAAUUAAUUUGUAGUUGAUUUGUGCUUCAUUUUUUGAAGAUAAAAACUGUGUGCUAGUUUAUUUUGAGUAAUUUGUAGUCUAUUUCUUCUUUUAGGAGUGACUUCAUGAGAAUACUCCUUUAUUACUAUUAUGCUACAUUAUGUUAAUUUUAAGCUUCAUACCUUAUGCUAGAAAUAUAAAUUUAGUUUAUAUUUA